AGAGUUUGAUUCUGGCUCAGGAUGAACGCUGGCGGCGUGCCUAAUACAUGCAAGUCGAACGAGGUAGCAAUACCGAGUGGCGAACGGGUGAGUAACACGUAGGUAACCUGCCCUUAAGCUUGGGAUACCCAGAGGAAACUUUGGCUAAUACCGGAUAACAACAGAGAAGGCAUCUUCUUUGCUUGAAAGGCCCCUUCAAGGGUCACUUAAGGAUGGACCUGCGGCGCAUUAGCUAGUUGGUGAGAUAACAGCCCACCAAGGCGAGGAUGCGUAGCCGAACUGAGAGGUUGAUCGGCCACAUUGGAACUGAGACACGGUCCAAACUCCUACGGGAGGCAGCAGUAAGGAGUUUUCGGCAAUGGGGGAAACCCUGACCGAGCAACGCCGCGUGAGCGAUGACGGUCCUUUGGAAUUGUAAAGCUCUGUUGUAAGCCAUGAAUGACAGCUUGAGGAAAUGCAAGUUGUUUGACGACAGCUUACCAGAAAGCCACGGCUAACUACGUGCCAGCCGCCGC
This 515-nucleotide ribosomal RNA is filed under the name uncultured bacterium. Its description in RNAcentral is "bacterial SSU rRNA". It matches the Rfam family "Bacterial small subunit ribosomal RNA", at positions 8 to 518 of the family's 1533-position model. The record is from RNAcentral.